This 493-nucleotide ribosomal RNA is filed under the name Escherichia coli. RNAcentral's name for it is "bacterial SSU rRNA". It matches the Rfam family "Bacterial small subunit ribosomal RNA", at positions 1019 to 1512 of the family's 1533-position model. Lineage: Bacteria; Pseudomonadati; Pseudomonadota; Gammaproteobacteria; Enterobacterales; Enterobacteriaceae. The record is from RNAcentral.
UUCGGGAACCGUGAGACAGGUGCUGCAUGGCUGUCGUCAGCUCGUGUUGUGAAAUGUUGGGUUAAGUCCCGCAACGAGCGCAACCCUUAUCCUUUGUUGCCAGCGGUCCGGCCGGGAACUCAAAGGAGACUGCCAGUGAUAAACUGGAGGAAGGUGGGGAUGACGUCAAGUCAUCAUGGCCCUUACGACCAGGGCUACACACGUGCUACAAUGGCGCAUACAAAGAGAAGCGACCUCGCGAGAGCAAGCGGACCUCAUAAAGUGCGUCGUAGUCCGGAUUGGAGUCUGCAACUCGACUCCAUGAAGUCGGAAUCGCUAGUAAUCGUGGAUCAGAAUGCCACGGUGAAUACGUUCCCGGGCCUUGUACACACCGCCCGUCACACCAUGGGAGUGGGUUGCAAAAGAAGUAGGUAGCUUAACCUUCGGGAGGGCGCUUACCACUUUGUGAUUCAUGACUGGGGUGAAGUCGUAACAAGGUAACCGUAGGGGAACC